GAUUAACGCUGGCGGCAUGCCUAAUACAUGCAAGUCGAACGGAAGCAGCAAUGCUUUAGUGGCGAACGGGUGAGUAACACGUAGGGAACCUACCUAUACGACGAGGAUAACUACUGGAAACGGUAGCUAAAACUGGAUAGGAUCAAUUGAGGCAUCUUGAUUGAUUUAAAGAUCCUUCGGGAUUACGUAGAGAUGGCCCUGCGGCGCAUUAGCUAGUUGGUGAGGUAACGGCCCACCAAGGCGACGAUGCGUAGCUGAGCUGAGAGGCUAAACAGCCACACUGGGACUGAGACACGGCCCAGACUCCUACGGGAGGCAGCAGUAGGGAAUUUUCGGCAAUGGGGGAAACCCUGACCGAGCAACGCCGCGUGAAGGAAGACGGCCCUACGGGUUGUAAAGCUCUUUCGCAAGGGAAGAAAACGUGUGGGCUAAUAUCCUGCGCGGAUGACGGUACCUUGACAAGAAGCACCGGCUAACUACGUGCCAGCAGCCGCGGUAAAUCACA
This 505-nucleotide ribosomal RNA is filed under the name uncultured bacterium. RNAcentral describes it as "bacterial SSU rRNA". It matches the Rfam family "Bacterial small subunit ribosomal RNA", at positions 28 to 529 of the family's 1533-position model. The record is from RNAcentral.